RNAcentral lists this ribosomal RNA (237 nucleotides) under Leuconostoc citreum. RNAcentral's name for it is "partial 16S ribosomal RNA". It matches the Rfam family "Bacterial small subunit ribosomal RNA", at positions 79 to 309 of the family's 1533-position model. Lineage: Bacteria; Bacillati; Bacillota; Bacilli; Lactobacillales; Lactobacillaceae. The record is from RNAcentral.
CUAGCACCUUUCAAGCGAGUGGCGAACGGGUGAGUAACACGUGGAUAACCUGCCUCAAGGCUGGGGAUAACAUUUGGAAACAGAUGCUAAUACCGAAUAAAACUUAGUAUCGCAUGAUAUCAAGUUAAAAGGCGCUACGGCGUCACCUAGAGAUGGAUCCGCGGUGCAUUAGUUAGUUGGUGGGGUAAAGGCUUACCAAGACAAUGAUGCAUAGCCGAGUUGAGAGACUGAUCGGCC